RNAcentral lists this ribosomal RNA (470 nucleotides) under uncultured Alphaproteobacteria bacterium. RNAcentral describes it as "bacterial SSU rRNA". It matches the Rfam family "Bacterial small subunit ribosomal RNA", at positions 9 to 524 of the family's 1533-position model. Lineage: Bacteria; Pseudomonadati; Pseudomonadota; Alphaproteobacteria. The record is from RNAcentral.
GAGUUUGAUCCUGGCUCAGAACGAACGCUGGCGGCAUGCCUAACACGUGCAAGUCGAACGAUGGCUUCGGCCAUAGUGGCGCACGGGUGAGUAACGCGUGGGAACCUGCCUUUUGGUUUGGGAUAACUCCGGGAAACUGGAGCUAAUACCGGAUGAGCCCGAGCAAUCGGGGAAAGAUUUAUCGCCAAAAGAGGGGCCCGCGUCCGAUUAGGUAGUUGGUGGGGUAACGGCCUACCAAGCCUACGAUCGGUAGCUGGUCUGAGAGGAUGAUCAGCCACACUGGGACUGAGACACGGCCCAGACUCCUACGGGAGGCAGCAGUGGGGAAUAUUGGACAAUGGGCGCAAGCCUGAUCCAGCAAUGCCGCGUGGAUGAUGAAGGCCUUAGGGUUGUAAAGUCCUUUCGGCGGGACGAUGAUGACGGUACCGCAGAAGAAGCCCGGCUAACUUCGUGCCAGCCGCCGCCGUAAG